UACAGAGGUCCCGAGCGUUGUUCGGAUUCACUGGGCGUAAAGGGUGCGUAGGUGGCAUGGUAAGUUUGAUGUGAAAGCUCAGGGCUCAACCCUGAAAUGGCAUUGAAUACUACUGUGCUGGAGGUUUGGAGGGGGGACUGGAAUUCUUGGUGUAGCAGUGAAAUGCGUAGAUAUCAAGAGGAACACCAGUGGCGAAGGCGAGUCCCUGGACAACACCUGACACUGAGGCACGAAAGCCAGGGGAGCAAACAGG
Molecule: ribosomal RNA, 253 nt
Filed under: uncultured bacterium
Lineage: Bacteria
Description: partial 16S ribosomal RNA
Rfam family: Bacterial small subunit ribosomal RNA
Source: RNAcentral